GUCGUACGCUUCUUUUUCCACCGGAGCUUGCUCCACCGGAAAAAGAAGAGUGGCGAACGGGUGAGUAACACGUGGGUAACCUGCCCAUCAGAAGGGGAUAACACUUGGAAACAGGUGCUAAUACCGUAUAACAAUCGAAACCGCAUGGUUUUGAUUUGAAAGGCGCUUUCGGGUGUCGCUGAUGGAUGGACCCGCGGUGCAUUAGCUAGUUGGUGAGGUAACGGCUCACCAAGGCCACGAUGCAUAGCCGACCUGAGAGGGUGAUCGGCCACAUUGGGACUGAGACACGGCCCAAACUCCUACGGGAGGCAGCAGUAGGGAAUCUUCGGCAAUGGACGAAAGUCUGACCGAGCAACGCCGCGUGAGUGAAGAAGGUUUUCGGAUCGUAAAACUCUGUUGUUAGAGAAGAACAAGGAUGAGAGUAACUGUUCAUCCCUUGACGGUAUCUAACCAGAAAGCCACGGCUAACUACGUGCCAGCAGCCGCGGUAAUACGUAGGUGGCAAGCGUUGUCCGGAUUUAUUGGGCGUAAAGCGAGCGCAGGCGGUUUCUUAAGUCUGAUGUGAAAGCCCCCGGCUCAACCGGGGAGGGUCAUUGGAAACUGGGAGACUUGAGUGCAGAAGAGGAGAGUGGAAUUCCAUGUGUAGCGGUGAAAUGCGUAGAUAUAUGGAGGAACACCAGUGGCGAAGGCGGCUCUCUGGUCUGUAACUGACGCUAAGGCUCGAAAGCGUGGGGAGCAAACAGGAUUAGAUACCCUGGUAGUCCACGCCGUAAACGAUGAGUGCUAAGUGUUGGAGGGUUUCCGCCCUUCAGUGCUGCAGCUAACGCAUUAAGCACUCCGCCUGGGGGAGUACGACCGCAAGGUUGAAACUCAAAGGAAUUGACGGGGGCCCGCACAAGCGGUGGAGCAAGUGGUUUAAUUCGAAGCAACGCGAAGAACCUUACCAGGUCUUGAC
RNAcentral lists this ribosomal RNA (955 nucleotides) under Enterococcus lactis. Its description in RNAcentral is "bacterial SSU rRNA". It matches the Rfam family "Bacterial small subunit ribosomal RNA", at positions 61 to 985 of the family's 1533-position model. Lineage: Bacteria; Bacillati; Bacillota; Bacilli; Lactobacillales; Enterococcaceae. The record is from RNAcentral.